ACAGGUCAGACUGAGUUCAACGAUGAAGACAGACUCGGAGGAGAUGACGGCGUCAGAGGUGGUGUAGGCCGACGGAGUGAUGACUGGAUCUGUGCAGCUCUCUCCUGUCAACACAGAGCACGGCUAAGAUGAUGUGAUUCUUUUGGCCUCAACUGUGCACAGCUGAGAUGAAAACCAGCCAACACCAAGGCCGUAGUUCUCAGCUGGAAAGAGCUGGAUUACUCCCCCACGAGUCCCGUGGAUCUGCUGCUUUGAAGAGACCUGGUCAUUUCUCCCUGCGUCCAUCACCCCGCCUCCCUUUCCUUUGGGGAGCCUGGGCAGAGGAUGAGGAGACGGUGGAGGAGGGUUCCUGCAGUGCUUGACGCGAAAUAAGCUCCUUG
Long non-coding RNA from Acanthochromis polyacanthus (spiny chromis), 380 nucleotides. RefSeq lists it as uncharacterized. The record is from RefSeq and is a predicted model, not a curated record. NCBI's taxonomy places the organism in Eukaryota, Metazoa, Chordata, Actinopteri, Pomacentridae. The transcript has 3 exons.